GGGCCCGUAGCUCAGCUAGGUAGAGCGGCAGGCUCAUAACCUGUUGGUCCAGGGUUCGAAUCCCUGCGGGCCCA
This 74-nucleotide transfer RNA is filed under the name Nitrososphaerota archaeon. Its description in RNAcentral is "tRNA-Met". It matches the Rfam family "tRNA". Rfam says of the family: Transfer RNA (tRNA) molecules are approximately 80 nucleotides in length. Their secondary structure includes four short double-helical elements and three loops (D, anti-codon, and T loops). Lineage: Archaea; Thermoproteati; Nitrososphaerota. RNAcentral also lists the same sequence under 2 other names. The record is from RNAcentral.